Spinacia oleracea (spinach) is the source of this 1967-nucleotide long non-coding RNA. RefSeq lists it as uncharacterized. NCBI's taxonomy places the organism in Eukaryota, Viridiplantae, Streptophyta, Magnoliopsida, Caryophyllales, Amaranthaceae. The transcript is spliced from 7 exons. The record is from RefSeq and is a predicted model, not a curated record.
CAAAUAAACCCCAAACCCAAAAGUUUACCCACUCAAUUAUUCUCUCUCCUCUCAACUCACAAACCCACAAAACAAUUCACGUGAAUCACUCUCACCCUUCACGUACUUCUUCUUGCUCCUUGUUGAACCAGCAAACCACCUCCGUCAGCCCUCCACCACAGAACAGCGCCGCCGUGGCCGCCGACCACCUACCCCGUCGACCGUCGCACUAGCCGUCGCUGCAGUCAGGCCGUUGCUUUGCUUCUCCUCCUCUUUGUUUUCUCCUUUCGCACGCAACCAGCGAAAUCAACAGCCACCCGCGCCACCAGUUGCGGUGUCCAACCUCCGAGACCACCCUGACCCCUCUGCCGCGAGCGACCCUGCCGCAGUCGUGCCUCUGUCCGCCGGCUAGCACUUUCUCCCCCUCCUUUAUUUGGAGGAGAAUUCUCUUUAAGCAACUUUUGAAAGUGUCAAAGUGGCCUAUCAGUUUGUUUACUCAAGUCUCUAAGGAUCAAUAAGCAUUGUCCAUCUGCAGGUUUGAAGAUGUUGCAUCAUUGAUAUCGGGAAUAGAGAGCUUGUAUUUAGUUUUGAUUUGCUAAGUUGACUUGGGUUUGUUUAAUUGGACUUUAAACUUGUUGAACUAGAUACACUGAUCUUAUUUUCGUUGAUUGGUUUGGGAUUAACUAUGUAGUUCAUUAUUUAUAAACCUAAAGUUAUUUUAAAGUUUUCCGCUGCAAAAUUCUGAAUAAGCCGAUACGUUUUCACACGAGCGAUAAUGCCUUGAUAAUUCUCUACGUUUUAUAUAAAAAUGGUGUUUUAGAAAAUGGAGAAUUGUCGGGGUGUUACAUAUACAGUGCUAAAGAAGGAGAGAGAAAGAUGGACAAAAGAGAAAGUAUAGGGUGAGCCGGUGAGGUCGUAGGGUGUACGUUUAUGCUAUUUUGGUUUGGUUAAGUUUUCAAAGCAUCGGUUUGAUUAGUUUUGUUGUUUGACACACGCGCAAAAGAUGGAUCGUUGGUUGAAAUAGAUUGUAAGGCUGGGAUUACUUCUCAUUCUUCCCAUUAUAAGGAUUUUCUCAUUGGAUAGCAACCCCGUAUAUAUAUAUAUAUAUAUAUAUAUAUAUAUAUAUAUAUAUAUAUAUACAUAUAUAUAUAUAUAUAUAUAUAUAUAUAUAGGACCAGGUUCUGGUGAGAACCUCUCUUAAGAUGAGAAUCACCUUAUAAUGAGAACCUCUACAAACCGUUAGAUUUAGGUGAAACAAACGGCUGAGAUCGUAUCUCGCGAAUUAAAUCAUGCGCGGCUCUUUUCAAGCUCCUUACUGAGCUGAAAUUUUCUCUCUCUACAACCCUCAUUCUCUCCUCACUCACGUUCAUUUCUCUCUCCUCACUCAAAUUCAAACGCAAUCGUCUCUUUCCUCAACCGUUUUGCUUGAAAUUACACUUCAAAAACCGCCAAUUAUAUCUUAAUUUCACGAAGAUUACAAAGAUUUUGAGCUUGAACAUUGCAUUUUCUGGUGCCGGAGCUUCCAUUUUUUCGGCGACUGAACUUCUAAGGUAUCAUUUGAAUCUGCAAAUUGAUCUCAACACAGUUGUUAUUUGCUCAAGUACCAGAAUUCGUUAAUGUUCGGCUUGAAUUUGUGAAUUCGUCAACAAAAUGCUGCGAAGUUAAAGUAGAUAAUGAGAAUAAAUAAUAAAAGGCUAACCAAAAGAUUGGUGUGUAGCCUGUGCAGUGCUUGGGUGUGGAAGAAGAGUUACUUCUGUGCUGCUAUUUUUGUCAGUUGCAGCAUGUUGUGUCACUUGCAGUCUGCUAGUUUCCAAUAGCUUAGUGAUUAUUUAUGUGGCUUGUGUGUCUGUUUCGUUUUUGUGGCUUGUUGGGUUGUAAUGCUUCUAUGAAGUUUGUACUCUUAUUUUGAUUUCAAUAUAUUCUUAUUUUGCCCAAAAAAAUGUAAACCUUAAUCUUUAUAAUAUUAGAUGAGUUAUAUUUCUUUGUAA